RNAcentral lists this ribosomal RNA (402 nucleotides) under Theileria luwenshuni. RNAcentral describes it as "SSU rRNA". It matches the Rfam family "Eukaryotic small subunit ribosomal RNA", at positions 454 to 893 of the family's 1831-position model. Lineage: Eukaryota; Apicomplexa; Aconoidasida; Piroplasmida; Theileriidae. The record is from RNAcentral.
UCACCGGGAGGUGGUGACAAGAAAUAACAAUACGGGGCUUAAUGUCUUGUAAUUGGAAUGAUGGGAAUUUAAACCUCUUCCAGAGUAUCAAUUGGAGGGCAAGUCUGGUGCCAGCAGCCGCGGUAAUUCCAGCUCCAAUAGCGUAUAUUAAAAUAGUUGCAGUUAAAAAGCUCGUAGUUGAAUUUUUGCUGCAUCGCAUCUUCUUUUUGAUGAGUUGGUGUCUUGUGGCUUAUUUCGGAUGAUACUUGUAUUAUCCGGAUGAUUACUUUGAGAAAAUUAGAGUGCUCAAAGCAGGCUUUUGCCUUGAAUAGUUUAGCAUGGAAUAAUAAAGUAGGACUUUGGUUCUAUUUUGUUGGUUUUAGGUACCAAAGUAAUGGUUAAUAGGAACAGUGGGGCAUUAUG